UCAGUACGGCGAGUGAGCGGCAAAAGCUCAAAUUUGAAAUCUAGCACCUUCGGUGUUCGAGUUGUAAUUUGAAGAUGGUAACCUUGGGUUUGGCUCUUGUCUAUGUUCCUUGGAACAGGACGUCAUAGAGGGUGAGAAUCCCGUCUGAUGAGAUGCCCAUUCCUAUGUAAGGUGCUAUCGAAGAGUCGAGUUGUUUGGGAAUGCAGCUCUAAGUGGGUGGUAAAUUCCAUCUAAAGCUAAAUAUUGGCGAGAGACCGAUAGCGAACAAGUACAGUGAUGGAAAGAUGAAAAGAACUUUGAAAAGAGAGUGAAAAAGUACGUGAAAUUGUUGAAAGGGAAGGGCAUUAGAUCAGACUUGGUGUUUUACGAUUAUCUUCUCUUCUUGAGUUGUGCACUCGUAUUUCACUGGGCCAGCAUCGAUUCGGAUGGCAAGAUAAUGGCAGUUGAAUGUGGCUUCACUUCGGUGGAGUGUUAUAGCUUCUGCUGAUAUUGCCUGUCUGGAUCGAGGGCUGCGUCUUUUGACUAGGAUGCUGGCGUAAUGAUCUAAUGCCGCCCCGUCUU
This 561-nucleotide ribosomal RNA is filed under the name Hansenula anomala. RNAcentral describes it as "eukaryotic LSU rRNA". It matches the Rfam family "Eukaryotic large subunit ribosomal RNA", at positions 80 to 655 of the family's 3401-position model. Lineage: Eukaryota; Fungi; Ascomycota; Saccharomycetes; Phaffomycetales; Wickerhamomycetaceae. The record is from RNAcentral.